GAGUUUGAUCAUGGCUCAGGAUGAACGCUGGCGGCGUGCUUAACACAUGCAAGUCGAACGAGGAAUUUUAAAUGAGACUUCGGUGGAUUUUAAAAUUCUUAGUGGCGGACGGGUGAGUAACGCGUGGGCAACCUGCCCUGUACAGGGGGACAACAGCUGGAAACGGCUGCUAAUACCGCAUAAGACCACGGAGCCGCAUGGCUCAGUGGGAAAAACUCCGGUGGUACAGGAUGGGCCCGCGUUGGAUUAGGUAGUUGGUGAGGUAACGGCCCACCAAGCCGACGAUCCAUAGCCGACCUGAGAGGGUGACCGGCCACGUUGGGACUGAGACACGGCCCAAACUCCUACGGGAGGCAGCAGUGGGGAAUCUUCCGCAAUGGGCGAAAGCCUGACGGAGCAACGCCGCGUGAGUGAAGAAUUAUUUCGGUAUGUAAAGCUCUAUCAGCAGGGAAGAAAAUGACGGUACCUGACUAAGAAGCCCCGGCUAACUACGUGCCAGCAGCCGCAGUAAC
Molecule: ribosomal RNA, 512 nt
Filed under: uncultured microorganism
Description: bacterial SSU rRNA
Rfam family: Bacterial small subunit ribosomal RNA
Source: RNAcentral